ACUACAUGGAGGCAAAUGAGGCAAAUGCCUCAUGUUGAAAAUUUGAAAAAAAAAAAAAAAAUUGAAACAAAAGCUUGUCUUCAUAUCAAAUUGAUUUCACGGCGAGUGUCUUGCAAGAAGCAAGUUCUCUUCACUCUCUGAUGUCGCCCCUGCAUGUUUUUCGUGAUCUAUGUUUCUAAUUUACUUUUAGUUUUCAAUGUUGAUGGUCUAUUGUUUGUAGUUAUGUGUCUUAUCUGUACCCGGGUUUGUCUUUUGUUCAUUUAUUGUCCUACUUUAUGACUAUAGUCUAAGUGUUGAUUUUCUUUUGUAAAUCUAGUAAUUUUGUUCAAAACUUGAGUUUUCUUAUACUGAAGGACCUUUUGUCUAAUUGAAAAAACUACAUUCAAUUGUAAGAAUAUUUGAAAUUAGAUCUACGAUGACGGGUGAACGGUUGUG
This 435-nucleotide long non-coding RNA is filed under the name Mytilus galloprovincialis (Mediterranean mussel). Lineage: Eukaryota; Metazoa; Mollusca; Bivalvia; Mytilida; Mytilidae. The record is from RNAcentral.